RNAcentral lists this long non-coding RNA (236 nucleotides) under Sparus aurata (gilthead seabream). RNAcentral's name for it is "lncRNA (ENSSAUG00010003440.1)". Lineage: Eukaryota; Metazoa; Chordata; Actinopteri; Spariformes; Sparidae. The record is from RNAcentral.
AUGCACGGACUGGUCAGAUGCCUAUGUCUCGUCCUCUGUCCCUCCCUCCGCGCACGCACAUGUUACGUUUCACUGAUGCCGGAAAUAUUCAGCACACUCCUCUGCAGAAAUACGAGUUGCAGGAGAAGACGUUUGUUUUGUUUCAGGGGGGUGGAAUUUAGAGGAGGUGCCACUUUCAAAUCUUGCUAGCUCUCUUGGUAGCUCUCCAGGAUUGUAGACCCUAGCUUUAAUCCAUG